Non-coding RNA from Rattus norvegicus (Norway rat), 3739 nucleotides. The record is from RefSeq and is a predicted model, not a curated record. NCBI's taxonomy places the organism in Eukaryota, Metazoa, Chordata, Mammalia, Rodentia, Muridae.
GAAAUGGUGCACUUGUCCAAAUUUUAUGAAUCUAUCUAAAGAUUUUGCCACUUACGCAAUUCAGUCUUAUCAAUCGAUAUUGAAAUACAAGUGAGACUGGAUAUGUUCUGAAUGUGUGGGGAAGUAGGCUCUGCCAUGGGCGGAAUCUAAUCAAAGGGCCUCGACUCAAAUACAACUUGGUGUGGUUGGGCAAGAGGGAACUCCGUGAGUUCAAAAAAAGACCUCUUCAGGGUUGAUGCUGACGGUAGGAGGGGAGUUGGAAGCCAACACCCGCAGCAGAGGAGAACCUCACAAAGACACUGGCAGCUCGGGAUCCAGCAGCGCCCCCAGAAUUCCACUUGGGACCAAAGUUAAGGUCCCAACACUCAGGUCCUCUAGCUUUCUAUCCCAGUAGGUGGGACAUUAAAGACCCCAGAGUUGGCUUCAGGACAACUGCUGAGAAGAUGAUGACCUUAGGGGGUCCUUUGGGGUAUCCUUGUCUGGGCCCCCGAAUCAGAGAAAAAGAUGAGUGCUUCAGAGAUAGACAACCACACCUCUGCCCUUUGAAAACCACCAACAGACAUGUUGUUUUCAGCUCUGUAUUUAUCAAUAUAAAUAACUGAGAAUGCACCGGUGUUCCUGAUCUGGUUUCCUUGGAUCAUCUGGUCUACCUGGGGACACUGAAGAAGUACAUGUGGCUAGUCACAGGAAAGUGGCUUCUAGGAAGAAGACCCACCUCCUCCCCUUCUCUCAGGUCCCCCUGCUGCACAGAACUACAGUUAGACAGCCACCAUAUUUCCCACAGACUAGAGAAGAGACGGCGAGGAUGCACUGUGAAGUAUGAGACCCUUCCGGAGGUAAAUUCAAGAGUGGUGCAAAACCAAUGAAGUAGCACCAGAGCCUAACAGGGCUGAAAGAAGCCAGGCGGAAGGAGCACUGUGGGUGACCUUCAAUCUAAAAUCUACUAUCUAGUCUUCCCUGCCCCUCCCGGAGGAUAAGUGGGGUGACUUACUUUGUGGGUUGCUCCCACCAACCCUGGAAGGAAGCAGGAAGUGGAGAAAGGUGGAAGAGCCUCUAUGCCAGAUGAUUCUGGAAGCAGCCUGCCCUCACCACCCAGGCCGCCCCGUGGCAGAUGACAGAUGGUACGAGCUGUUGUGAGGUGCUCAGCGCCUAUGCCAGUCUUUUCCAGAAGGGGCUGAAUUUGGCUGCCCAUGUUCACAGAGUCCCUUUCAUGUGUACAUAGUCCGGAUGCCAUAAAGGUUAGCUGUAGUGUGGGCAGGCGCCAUUCACUCAACAGCUCAAGAGCCUGCUGUCAACCAGACAUUGGGGACACAAUGUGAACUAACCCCAAUCACUUCCCCAGCAUAGCGGUGGGGACAGAUGUUGACUAAGCAAACAGAAUAAAUAUAGAAGUCCGAAUCGGGACGCACUGUCCGAGGGUUAGCAAUCCACAGAAUGAGGUAGACAACAAAUUCAAGACAGCCAUGAUCGAGCUAGAGCCUGCCAACGAAACUCUUGAUCUGCCCUUGACUCUGGGUAAGUUAAGCUUCCUUCUCAGCUAUAAAAUGGGUCACCAAAGACAGAGACACACUUCAGGAAUUAGCUAAGGGAAAACGCCCAAUAGCUGCUAGCUUGUGUUAGCAGUAGGAACCUCUGGAAGUUAAGAUGUUACGUUGUUAAGGCUCAGAAUGUCUCUUAGCACAGCCUAGAGACCCUAACUCAUCUCUUUCCCCAGCAGCCAGACCUGGGCUUUCCUCAUCUCUCAGGAGGCUCUGGUAGACUUCUUCUUCCAGCUGACUCUAGCCAGAACCUCCGAGUGCUGCCAUCAUUACAGUCCUGGGUCUCUUUAAGCAGCCACUGCCAGCACUGUGGGGGAUUCGUGGUGAAUCAGCCCUGGCCCAGUGAGCUGGACACACAAUCGCUCAGCCAGGAUAUGGCUGUGAGCCCACAAGCCGCUGCGAGGAGACAAAGCUGUUCUUGGGCCUUCUAAAGCUCUCCCUGAUUCCUGCUGUGUUCGAUGGGCAGGCAUAUUCUGUCCAGCCUCUAGCCCCAAGGUGGACUAAGGCUGGCUUCGCUCUCUUGAGGGUUGGAAGGCAAGACAAUUGUUCCAGCAGAGAAAUCGGACGACGGACAGAAAACGAAAGAAAAGAAAAGAAAGAAACCCAAGCAUGUUUCUAUCUCCCUUCACAAAGCUUAUCUGUGCGGAGGCAAUCUCUGCUCAUGUCCUCCUCUUUGGAUGGGGAGGAGGGGGCAGCAAAGAGACAUUAUCAGAGUCGUUCAAAUGUGCUGCUGGUCCUGGGAGCUCAGGAAUACUGCUUUGAGGGCUGCCUGGCCAGUUUCCAUCCUGUUGCCAAGCAACCUGACAUGCAAUCCAUCCAUCGGAACCUUAUCACGGAGUCAGUGAGCCGGAAGGCGCUGAAGAGCUCUCUGCCCGGACUCCCUACACCAAAGCCUUUGGGGAGGCUCAUGGAGAAUGAAAAAGAAGGCACAGUCUUUGCCCAGGCCUCACAGUGACCCUCAAGAACAGAGUCAGGCCAGGAUUGGUGGCGCAGGCCUGAGAUCCCGGAUGCUCAGGAGACUGUAGCACAGGGAUCAAAAGAUCAAGGUCGCUAUGGGCUAGAGUGAAUUCAAGGCCAACCUGGGAACUUAGUGUGACCCUGUCUCAGGGACUGAAAGUGGAAACUGGGCAGUAGCUAAGUGAGGAAAGGUUGUUUGGCAUUCAACCCCAGUGUGGUUCACCCAAAGGUCUUGUGAGAAUGUGCUCUGGGAAGGAGCACAGGUGUCUGACCUCCCCUCACCUCUCUUGUAGCUAUGACCACUCUUAAAAUACACAGGCAAAGAUCUAACAGCGUUCCUUCAAUUUCCCCAAAGUGGGAAGCAAAGGGCUCCUUCGUCUGCGUCUGCCUCCAAGGCCACUUCUCAUUUUGUUUGAAACCACUGCAGCUCAAGACCUGUAGACAUCCCAUGCACUGAGUACUCCUAAGCACCUUCCUGGCGGUGGCUGCUUUAAGAGACCCAGGGUUGUAAUAAUGGCAGUGAUCAGAGGUUUGGGCUGGAGUCAGCUGUGAACUCUGAGUCACCAUGUUCCAAGCCUGCUUCUCAGGAGGACCUCAGACAGAGAAGCCAGCAUUAAGAGUCAAAUCGCACUGAACACCAACCGGGGACGGCUAUUACUGUACGUACACCACACAGCCACAAACCUGACUUGAAAAACAAGUGCACAGGGUCCCCUUUUCUCAUGAAAACUGCACACAUCCAGACUUGCAACAGCACAGAAAUGCUAGGAAAGAAAUGGACAGUGUCUCGCUUCGAGAACGUGGCACUCGAUUUUUUUUUUUUAAUUGAGGAGAAAAAGCUCCCUCCUUUAGGAUACAAAAAAGUGAGUUCAAAGAGCGAAGCAAGGCAAUAGCUGACCUCCUCUGGGUCCUUCCCCCAGGAAGGUGCCCGGCUAAAAAGCCACUGAAUACUGGCCAAGAAUGGGCACCACAGCUGGGCACUGGGCCACACCCAGAGGGCAGCCCACCCCCUCCCUUCACACCACAGGACACACAGGCCAAGGGCCAAUGAUCCCCAGGCAUGAAACCAAAUGAACAAAGAGGUUACACAACUCCGUAAUCACAUGAGAGCCAAGACAGGACCUGACAUCAUAAGCCCACCAACAUCUCCCUGGGCUUCGGUGUGAGCUCACAGGGUAAAUAAACAGCCAUGAUUAAUCAGAUUAUAAAUAUAUAACAAUAAACAGCAUAAACAUAAUAAUAAA